This 238-nucleotide ribosomal RNA is filed under the name uncultured bacterium. RNAcentral's name for it is "partial 16S ribosomal RNA". It matches the Rfam family "Bacterial small subunit ribosomal RNA", at positions 57 to 305 of the family's 1533-position model. The record is from RNAcentral.
GCAAGUCGAGCGGGAUUAUAUUUUAGCUUGCUAAGAUAUAUGAGAGCGGCGAACGGGUGAGUAACACGUUGGUAUCUGCCCCCAAGUCAGGGAUAGCCAUAGGAAACGAUGAAUAAUACCGGAUAGGCGCUACGGAGUAAAAAUUUAUUGCUUGGGGAGGAGCCUGCGUUCUAUCAGCUAGUUGGUGAGGUAAUAGCUCACCAAGGCUAUGACGGGUAGCUGGUCUGAGAGGAUGACC